Molecule: ribosomal RNA, 526 nt
Filed under: uncultured Oscillibacter sp.
Lineage: Bacteria; Bacillati; Bacillota; Clostridia; Eubacteriales; Oscillospiraceae
Description: partial 16S ribosomal RNA
Source: RNAcentral
CACGUAGUUAGCCGUGGCUUAUUCAAGGGGUACCGUCUUCUGCUCUUCCCCUUAAAAGAAGUUUACAACCCGAAAGCCUUCUUCCUUCACGCGGCGUUGCUGGGUCAGGCUUGCGCCCAUUGCCCAAUAUUCCCCACUGCUGCCUCCCGUAGGAGUCUGGGCCGUAUCUCAGUCCCAAUGUGGCCGGUCAACCUCUCAGUCCGGCUACUGAUCGUCGCCUAGGGUCGGGCCCGUUACCCCGCCUACUAGCUAAUCAGACGCGAGGCCAUCUUCCAGCGAUAAAUCUUUGACAUGUCCGUGAUGCCACGGCCAUGUGUCAUGCGGUAUUAGCAGUCGUUUCCAACUGUUCGUCCCCCUCUGGAAGGCAGGUUCCUCACGCGUUACUCACCAGUCCGCCACUAAGCCGUUCCCUUCCAUUGUCCGAAAACUCUUUCGAGGGGUGCUCCGUUCGACUUGCAUGUGUUAAGCACGCCGCAGCGUUGUCCUUGAGUCCAGUAGACAAACUCUACCUGAGUACCUGACCCGG